GACGAACGCUGGCGGCGUGCUUAACACAUGCAAGUCGAACGGAAAGGCCCUGCUUUUGUGGGGUGCUCGAGUGGCGAACGGGUGAGUAACACGUGAGUAACCUGCCCUUGACUUUGGGAUAACUUCAGGAAACUGGGGCUAAUACCGGAUAGGAGCUCCUGCUGCAUGGUGGGGGUUGGAAAGUUUCGGCGGUUGGGGAUGGACUCGCGGCUUAUCAGCUUGUUGGUGGGGUAGUGGCUUACAAAGGCUUUGACGGGUAGCCGUCCUGAGAGGGUGACCGGCGGCUUGGGAGCAGAGGAACGACCCAGUAACCUACGGUAGGCUGAAGUGGGAAAAAUGGAACAUGGGCCGGAAGCAUAAUGCGGCACCGCGCCGGGCGGGACAACGACGUACGGGUGGAAAACCGUUUGCCACUUUACCGAAGCGUACGGGACGGUAUUUGGUAAAAACGCACGGGGAAACCACGA
This 467-nucleotide ribosomal RNA is filed under the name uncultured bacterium. RNAcentral's name for it is "partial 16S ribosomal RNA". It matches the Rfam family "Bacterial small subunit ribosomal RNA", at positions 28 to 506 of the family's 1533-position model. The record is from RNAcentral.